GACAGCAGUCGCCCGGUAAUACAGAGGUCUCAAGCGUUGUUCAGAUUCAUUGGGCGUAAAGGGUGCGUAGGUGGCGGUGUAAGUCUAACGUGAAAUCUCGGGGCUCAACCUCGAAAUUGCGUCGGAUACUGCAUUGCUAGAGGAUUGUAGAGGAGAGUGGAAUUCAUGGUGUAGCAGUGAAAUGCGUAGAUAUCAUGAGGAAGACCAGUUGCGAAGGCGACUCUCUGGGCAAUUCCUGACACUGAGGCACGAAGGCUAGGGGAGCAAACAGGAUUAGAUACCCCGGUAGUCCCUGUCUCUUAUACA
Molecule: ribosomal RNA, 306 nt
Filed under: uncultured bacterium
Lineage: Bacteria
Description: partial 16S ribosomal RNA
Rfam family: Bacterial small subunit ribosomal RNA
Source: RNAcentral